CCAACAGGGAUUGCCCCAGUAACGGCGAGUGAAGCGGCAAGAGCUCAAAUUUGAAAUCUGGCCUCCCCCGGGGGCCCGAGUUGUAAUUUGCAGAGGAUGCUUCGGGUGCGGCCGCCGUCUAAGUUCCUUGGAACAGGACGUCAGAGAGGGUGAGAAUCCCGUCUUGGGCGGGCGGUCCGCGCCCGUGUGAAGCUCCUUCGACGAGUCGAGUUGUUUGGGAAUGCAGCUCUAAGCGGGUGGUAAAUUUCAUCUAAAGCUAAAUAUUGGCCGGAGACCGAUAGCGCACAAGUAGAGUGAUCGAAAGGUUAAAAGCACCUUGAAAAGGGAGUUAAACAGCACGUGAAAUUGUUGAAAGGGAAGCGCUUGCGGCCAGACUCGGGGGCGGGGUUCAGCGGGUGCUCGUCGCCCGUGUAUUCCUCGUUUCCCGGGCCAGCAUCAGUUUCGACGGCCGGUCAAAGGCCCCCGGAAUGUGUCGUCUCUCGGGACGUCUUAUAGCCGGGGGUGCAAUGCGGCCCGUCGGGACUGAGGAACGCGCUUCGGCUCGGAUGCUGGCGUAAUGGCCGUAAGCGGCCCGUCUUGAAACACGGACCAAGGAGUCUAACAUCCACGCGAGUGUUCGGGUGUCAAACCCGUGCGCGCAGUGAAAGCGAACGGAGGUGGGAGCCUUAGGGCGCACCAUCGACCGAUCCUGAAGUCUUCGGAUGGAUUUGAGUAGGAGCGUGGCCGUUGGGACCCGAAAGAUGGUGAACUAUGCCUGAAUAGGGUGAAGCCAGAGGAAACUCUGGUGGAGGCUCGCAGCGGUUCUGACGUGCAAAUCGAUCGUCAAAUUUGGGCAUAGGGGCGAAAGACUAAUCGAACCAUCUAGUAGCUGGUUCUGC
RNAcentral lists this ribosomal RNA (878 nucleotides) under Trichophyton mentagrophytes. Its description in RNAcentral is "eukaryotic LSU rRNA". It matches the Rfam family "Eukaryotic large subunit ribosomal RNA", at positions 65 to 960 of the family's 3401-position model. The record is from RNAcentral. Lineage: Eukaryota; Fungi; Ascomycota; Eurotiomycetes; Onygenales; Arthrodermataceae.